This 791-nucleotide non-coding RNA is filed under the name Ameletus sp. 1 MT-2014. RNAcentral's name for it is "12S ribosomal RNA". The stretch from base 382 to 784 matches the Rfam family "Microsporidia small subunit ribosomal RNA", at positions 752 to 1303 of the family's 1311-position model. Lineage: Eukaryota; Metazoa; Arthropoda; Insecta; Ephemeroptera; Ameletidae. The record is from RNAcentral.
AUAAAGUUUUAUUCUAGCUACAAGGUUCUUUUUAUAAUUGCUUCACAUGUAAGAAGUAAACAAGGAGGAAGGCUUAAUCUAAAAGAUGGAUCUUAAGAAAUACAUUCGCAGUGUUUUAUUUUAAAAGUCAAGGAAAGUUGGAGUUAGUAAUUUAUUUAAUUCUGGCAAAAGUCGUGCCAGCCGCCGCGGUUAUACGAAAAGUGUAAAAGAACGUUAAUGGGAGGGAGUAAAUAUUUUUAGAAAGAGGACUAGGCUGUGGUUAUUAUUAAGUGAAAUUUUAAUAUAUUAAAAUGUCCAGAAGAGAAGUUAAUGAAACUUUGAAAUUUAGAUUCUAAACUAGGAUUAGAUACCCUAUUAUUCUUUAUGUUGAUAAAAUCCCCUGAGUAGUAAUAGUUAUGUUCUUGAAACUCAAAGAAUUUGGCGGUGUUUUAGUCCUUUCAGAGGAACUUGUCCCUUAAUCGAUAAUCCCCGUUAUACUUUACUUAAUUUGUUUAACAGCUUGUAUACCGCCGUCAUAAGAAUAUUUUUAGAGAUAAUGUUCAAAGUUUUGAAUUAAAAAGUAUGUCAGGUCAAGGUGCAGUUUAUAAUUAAGUGGUGAUGAGUUACAUUGAUUUUACUCAAACGGAUUAAAAGAUGAAAAUGUUUAUGAAGGAGGAUUUGAGAGUAAUUGAAUGGAGAGAAAUAAAAUGAUAUUGGCUCUAAAACAUGUACACAUCGCCCGUCGCUCUCGUUUAUUAAGGCGAGAUAAGUCGUAACAUAGUAGAUGUACCGGAAGGUGUAUCUAGAUAGUC